GAUGAAGAACGUAGCAAAAUGGGAUAAGUAAUGUGAAUUGCAGAAUUCAGUGAAUCAUCGAAUCUUUGAACGCACAUUGCGCCCGCCAGUAUUCUGGCGGGCAUGCCUGUUCGAGCGUCAUUUCAACCCUCAAGCACAGCUUGGUGUUGGGACUCGCGUUAAUUCGCGUUCCCCAAAUUGAUUGGCGGUCACGUCGAGCUUCCAUAGCGUAGUAGUAAAACCCUCGUUACUGGUAAUCGUCGCGGCCACGCCGUUAAACCCCAACUUCUGAAUGUUGACCUCGGAUCAGGGAGGAAUACCCGCUGAACUUAAGCAUAUCAAUAAGCGGAGGA
This 332-nucleotide unclassified non-coding RNA is filed under the name soil metagenome. RNAcentral describes it as "partial contains 5.8S ribosomal RNA, internal transcribed spacer 2, and large subunit ribosomal RNA". The stretch from base 1 to 120 matches the Rfam family "5.8S ribosomal RNA", at positions 35 to 154 of the family's 154-position model. The record is from RNAcentral.